GUAGGGGGCGAGCGUUGUCCGGAAUUACUGGGCGUAAAGGGUGCGUAGGCGGUUAGAUAAGUCGGAUGUGGAAUACCCGGGCUUAACCCGGGGGUGUCAUACGAAACUGUGUAACUUGAGUGCAGAAGAGGAAAGCGGAAUUCCCAGUGUAGCGGUGAAAUGCGUAGAUAUUGGGAGGAACACCAGUGGCGAAGGCGGCUUUCUGGGCUGUAACUGACGCUGAGGCACGAAAGCGUGGGGAGCAAACAGGAUUAGAUACCCUGGUAGUCCACGCUGUAAAUGGUGGAUGCUAGGUGUAGGGGGUAUCGACCCCCCCUGUGCCGGAGCAAACGCAAUAAGCAUCCCGCCUGGGGAGU
RNAcentral lists this ribosomal RNA (356 nucleotides) under uncultured bacterium. RNAcentral describes it as "bacterial SSU rRNA". It matches the Rfam family "Bacterial small subunit ribosomal RNA", at positions 527 to 881 of the family's 1533-position model. The record is from RNAcentral.